Molecule: non-coding RNA, 162 nt
Organism: Rodentibacter heidelbergensis
Lineage: Bacteria; Pseudomonadati; Pseudomonadota; Gammaproteobacteria; Pasteurellales; Pasteurellaceae
Source: Rfam
UUUAUCGCAUAACUCCGAGCUUGUUUAGUCUAAGUUCCUCUUUGGUGAAAAUACUUUAGUGAGGAAUAUGACGACAAUGCCAAUAACGCUAUUUGUUAUUCAGGGAUAUGCUGGAAACGGCUUGUCCUCUCCAUUUUAGAAAGGUGUCACAUGCAAUCUAUU